Molecule: transfer RNA, 77 nt
Filed under: Fodinibius salipaludis
Lineage: Bacteria; Pseudomonadati; Balneolota; Balneolia; Balneolales; Balneolaceae
Description: Aliifodinibius sp. WN023 tRNA-Arg
Rfam family: tRNA
About the family: Transfer RNA (tRNA) molecules are approximately 80 nucleotides in length. Their secondary structure includes four short double-helical elements and three loops (D, anti-codon, and T loops).
Source: RNAcentral
GCGCCCGUAGCUCAACUGGAUAGAGCAACUCCCUUCUAAGGAGUAGGUUACAGGUUCGAGUCCUGUCGGGCGUACAA